AUUGAACGCUGGCGGCCGGCUUAACCCAUGCACGUCGAGCGAGCGUCGGACGGGUGAGUAAUGUCUGGGAAACUGCCUGAUGGAGGGGGAUAACUACUGGAAACGGUAGCUAAUACCGCAUACCAUCAGAUGUGCCCAGAUGGGUUUGGCUAGUAGGUGGGGUAAUGGCUCACCUAGGCGACUAUCCCUAGCUGGUCUGAGAGGAUGACCAGCCACACGGGAACUGAGACACGGUCCAGACUCCUACGGGAGGCAGCAGUGGGGAAGAUUUCACAAUGGGCGCAAGCCUGAUGCAGCCAUGCCGCGUGAGUGAAGAAGGCCGGCGGGUUGUAAAACACUUUCAGCGAGGAGGCGUUACUCGCAGAAGAAGCACCGGCUAACUCCGGGCCAGCAGCCGCGGUAAUAC
This 406-nucleotide ribosomal RNA is filed under the name uncultured bacterium. RNAcentral's name for it is "partial 16S ribosomal RNA". It matches the Rfam family "Bacterial small subunit ribosomal RNA", at positions 30 to 526 of the family's 1533-position model. The record is from RNAcentral.